Molecule: non-coding RNA, 605 nt
Organism: Nicotiana tabacum (common tobacco)
Lineage: Eukaryota; Viridiplantae; Streptophyta; Magnoliopsida; Solanales; Solanaceae
Source: RefSeq, a predicted model, not a curated record
GUAGUUUCAAGUCUCUUUGUUACUUCUCCUCUGUUUUUAUAAAUCUCUUUGCUUCAAAAAUUGAAGGCUCUUGCUUCUUGGUUUUCCAGUUGACUGUGAGUCUCUUGCGGAAGAGUUUUCGUUGGUUUUCUCUUUUAUCCAGGUGCAUAUUUUGGAAGAUGGAUUCGGGCGAAGCCUCUGUUCCGAGGAGGCGGACCAGACAACAAUGGGAUAAAUACUUUCUUGAAUUGUACGAGAAAAAGAAGGGGUUGAGUCAAAGUGGUAAUCCUCCUAAGAUUUCUUGAAUGAAAACAAAAGAUGAAAAAAAUGGACAAAGGAAAAAACAGUGUGAACGAUAGGAAAAGGGUGGAAAUGUCUGACAUCAUUAUCAUUAAGUAGGCCGAGGCAGUAGCAUAAGAGAAGGGCUUUUCAUACUCCUUAGUUUCUUGUAGUAGUAGUUGUAAUGGUGUUGAGAUAUAGCAGUUGUAAUGGUGAGUUGGGAUAAAUUUGUGCCGAACAGCGUAAUGGUGAGUUGGGAUAAAUUUGUGCCGAACUCGCUGUAUUCCAUCGGAUACCUGUUGCUACUUGCACCAUACAUAUAUCAUGUAAUUGACAAAACUUGUGUA